CACUCCUACGGGAGGCAGCAGUGGGGAAUAUUGGACAAUGGGCGCAAGCCUGAUCCAGCCAUGCCGCGUGAGUGAUGAAGGCCCUAGGGUUGUAAAGCUCUUUCACCGGUGAAGAUAAUGACGGUAACCGGAGAAGAAGCCCCGGCUAACUUCGUGCCAGCAGCCGCGGUAAUACGAAGGGGGCUAGCGUUGUUCGGAUUUACUGGGAGUAAAGCGCACGUAGGCGGACUAUUAAGUCAGGGGUGAAAUCCCGGGGCUCAACCCCGGAACUGCCUUUGAUACUGGUAGUCUUGAGUUCGAGAGAGGUGAGUGGAAUUCCGAGUGUAGAGGUGAAAUUCGUAGAUAUUCGGAGGAACACCAGUGGCGAAGGCGGCUCACUGGCUCGAUACUGACGCUGAGGUGCGAAAGCGUGGGGAGCAAACAGGAUUAGAAACCCGAGUAGUCCCAUG
Molecule: ribosomal RNA, 449 nt
Filed under: uncultured organism
Description: partial 16S ribosomal RNA
Rfam family: Bacterial small subunit ribosomal RNA
Source: RNAcentral